AUUGAACGCUGGCGGCAGGCCUAACACAUGCAAGUCGAACGAGUGGCGGACGGGUGAGUAAUGUCUGGGAAACUGCCUGAUGGCGGGGGAUAACUACUGGAAACGGUAGCUAAUACCGCAUACCAUCAGAUGUGCCCAGAUGGGAUUAGCUAGUUGGUGGGGUAACGGCUCACCAAGGCGACGAUCCCUAGCUGGUCUGAGAGGAUGACAAGCCACACUGUAACGGAGACACGGUCCAGACUCCUACGGGAGGAAGCAGUGGGGAAUAUUCAACAAUGGGCGAAAGCCUGAUACAGCCAGGCGGGGGGUAUGAAGAAGGCCUUCGGGUUGUAAAUUACUUUCAGCGGGGAGGCGUUACCCGAAGAAGAAGCACCGGCUAACUCCGUGCCAGCAGCCGCGGUAAUUC
RNAcentral lists this ribosomal RNA (406 nucleotides) under uncultured bacterium. Its description in RNAcentral is "partial 16S ribosomal RNA". It matches the Rfam family "Bacterial small subunit ribosomal RNA", at positions 30 to 526 of the family's 1533-position model. The record is from RNAcentral.